Molecule: long non-coding RNA, 1248 nt
Filed under: Homo sapiens (human)
Lineage: Eukaryota; Metazoa; Chordata; Mammalia; Primates; Hominidae
Description: HSALNT0146960
Source: RNAcentral
CACUCUUCUCUCCCGGACUCCUGUCCAGGGCUUCAGGGGCCGGGCCCGCAAUCCCCAUCGGAUCGUACCUCGUCCGCUUCCAGCUCCGCUCGGCUGCCUAAGAGCGCCAUAUUCCUCCUCUGGCUGCUGCCACCCAAAAACCAAGCAGGGAACUCAGAGCCGACUCCUGCUCUCGGCUCUGGGCUCAGCCCAGCGCAAAGGAGGGCAAAAGGGGACGGCCCGGCGCUCCCUCCGGGUCUCGGGCGGGGCCUGAGUGCAGCUACUCGAUUUCCCCGCCCCCGGAGCCGGCAGGCCAGCACAGCAUCCAUUUCCUCCCCGGACGCCGCGCCGCUGGCCGGGCCACUUGCCCGGCCCCCAGCGGGCGGCAGCCCCGCCCAAGUGGGUGGAGUCACCUCCCAGAUAAAGUUUCCCGGUCUGGCACGCCCUCUGGGAGGGUUUCCUAAGCUUUCCUGCCGCCUGUUCUCUGCGGUGGCUGGGCACACCUGGAAAGAAGCUAGAGAGCGCGGGCAUGACGAAGCCAAGGUCAAAGCAGCGCCCCACCUGGGGUCCGUGGAAGCAUCCACCUGGUCUUUGGUCCGGUGCCAGUCCUUUUCCCUCGCCAGGUGGCCACCGCAUCUCGCAGAUGGUGUGGCCUGAGGGCAGCCUUGGGUCACGGUCACUGGUCCCCGAGAGGCCUCUGACACACCACCCACCUGGACUGUAGGUGGAAGGACUCUGCUUGCUUCUGUGUUCAAAAAAUAGAAAAAAACGCGGGACAGAGAUUUAUACAUAUUGGAACUCCUCUACUUCCCCCUACCCGGACAGUGUAUUCUCCCCAUAGCAUCCUGUAUUUUGUAACUCCAAACAUAGGUGUAUAAUUCGUGCUUGAACUAUAAACUCCAUGGGGGUAGGAUGCUAUCUGUCCUCUUCAAGACUGUAUCCCCAACACCCAGAACAGUGUCUUGCACAUCGUAGGUGCUCAACAGAUAUUUGUUGGCUGAGUUUAGAAACUGAACCUUGCUUCUGACAUGUAAAAUAACUGGAAAAUUAAAAGCUAGAUCUUUAAGAGUUUGGGGGAGAGAGGUCAGAUUUACUUUACAUACAGAAAAAUGCACCAAGUUAAAUGUGUGAUUCAGUGACAAGUGUUUACAAAGCAUCCCAGUCAUAAUAUAGAACAUCCUGAAAAGUUUUCUGUGACCCUUUGCUGUCAAUUUCCUACCUCCGCUCCCUAGCCUCUGUCAAUCACUGAUCUGCUAUCAACAUCGAUUU